RNAcentral lists this ribosomal RNA (492 nucleotides) under uncultured bacterium. RNAcentral's name for it is "partial 16S ribosomal RNA". It matches the Rfam family "Bacterial small subunit ribosomal RNA", at positions 29 to 507 of the family's 1533-position model. The record is from RNAcentral.
AGUGAACGCUGGCGGUAGGCCUAACACAUGCAAGUCGAACGGCAGCACAGUAAGAGCUUGCUCUUACGGGUGGCGAGUGGCGGACGGGUGAGGAAUACAUCGGAAUCUACUUUUUCGUGGGGGAUAACGGAGGGAAACUUACGCUAAUACCGCAUACGACCUACGGGUUAAAGCAGUGGAUCUUCGGACCUUUCGCGAUUGAAUGAGCCGAUGUCGGAUUAGCUAGUUGGCGGGGUAAAGGCCCACCAAGGCAACGAUCCGUAGCCGGUCUGAGAGGAUGAUCGGCCACACUGGAACUGAGACACGGUCCAGACUCCUACGGGAGGCAGCAGUGGGGAAUAUUGGACAAUGGGCGAAAGCCUGAUCCAGCCAUGCCGCGUGGGUGAAGAAGGCCUUCGGGUUGUAAAACCCUUUUGUUGGGAAAGAAAAGCAGCAGGUUAAUCCCCCGAUGUUCUGACGGUACCCAAAGAGUAAGCACCGGCUAACUUCGUG